RNAcentral lists this ribosomal RNA (120 nucleotides) under Oryctolagus cuniculus (rabbit). Lineage: Eukaryota; Metazoa; Chordata; Mammalia; Lagomorpha; Leporidae. The record is from RNAcentral.
UGUCUACGGCAUAUCACCCUGAAUGCACCCAGUCUCAUCUAAUCUCAGAAGCUAAGCAGGUUCGGGCCUGGCUAGUACUUGAUUGGGAAACCACCUGGGAAUAAUGUGAAAUGUGUUUAU